AGUGAACGCUGGCGGUAGGCCUAACACAUGCAAGUCGAACGGCAGCACAGUAAGAGCUUGCUCUUACGGGUGGCGAGUGGCGGACGGGUGAGGAAUACAUCGGAAUCUACUUUUUCGUGGGGGAUAACGUAGGGAAACUUACGCUAAUACCGCAUACGACCUACGGGUGAAAGCAGGGGAUCUUCGGACCUUGCGCGAUUGAAUGAGCCGAUGUCGGAUUAGCUAGUUGGCGGGGUAAAGGCCCACCAAGGCGACGAUCCGUAGCUGGUCUGAGAGGAUGAUCCGCCACAGGGGAAGUGAGACACGGUCCAGACUCCUACGGGAGGCAGGAGUGGGGACUAUUGGACAAGGGGCGCAAGCCUGAUCCAGCCACACCGCGUGGGUGAAGAAGGCCUGCGUGUUGUAAAGCCCUUUUGUUGGGAAAGAAAAGCAGCAGGUUAAUACCCCGCUGUUCUGACGGUACCCAAAGAAUAAGCACCGGCUAACUUCGU
This 491-nucleotide ribosomal RNA is filed under the name uncultured bacterium. RNAcentral's name for it is "partial 16S ribosomal RNA". It matches the Rfam family "Bacterial small subunit ribosomal RNA", at positions 29 to 506 of the family's 1533-position model. The record is from RNAcentral.